This 485-nucleotide ribosomal RNA is filed under the name uncultured bacterium. Its description in RNAcentral is "partial 16S ribosomal RNA". It matches the Rfam family "Bacterial small subunit ribosomal RNA", at positions 29 to 506 of the family's 1533-position model. The record is from RNAcentral.
AUUGAACGCUGGCGGCAUGCCUUACACAUGCAAGUCGAACGGCAGCACGGGUGCUUGCACCUGGUGGCGAGUGGCGAACGGGUGAGUAAUACAUCGGAACAUGUCCUGUAGUGGGGGAUAGCCCGGCGAAAGCCGGAUUAAUACCGCAUACGAUCUACGGAUGAAAGCGGGGGACCUUCGGGCCUCGCGCUAUAGGGUUGGCCGAUGGCUGAUUAGCUAGUUGGUGGGGUAAAGGCCUACCAAGGCGACGAUCAGUAGCUGGUCUGAGAGGACGACCAGCCACAGGGGGACUGAGACACGGCCCAGACCCCAACGGGAGGCAGGAGGGGGGAAUUUUGGAAAAGGGGCGAAACCCUGACCCAGCAAUGCCGGGGGUGGAAAGAAGGCCUUCGGGUUGUAAAGCACUUUUGUCCGGAAAGAAAUCCUUGGCCCUAAUCCGGUGGGGGGAUGCGGGUCCCGGAAAAAAAAGCCCCGGCUAACUACGU